Molecule: ribosomal RNA, 908 nt
Filed under: uncultured bacterium
Lineage: Bacteria
Description: bacterial SSU rRNA
Rfam family: Bacterial small subunit ribosomal RNA
Source: RNAcentral
ACGCUGGCGGCAGGCUUAACACAUGCAAGUCGAACGGUAACAGGGAUUAGCUUGCUAAUCUGCUGACGAGUGGCGGACGGGUGAGUAAUGCUUGGGAAUCUGGCUUAUGGAGGGGGAUAACUACGGGAAACUGUAGCUAAUACCGCGUAAAAUCUUCGGAUUAAAGGGUGGGACUUUCGAGCCACCUGCCAUAAGAUGAGCCCAAGUGGGAUUAGGUAGUUGGUUAGGUAAAGGCUGACCAAGCCAACGAUCUCUAGCUGGUCUGAGAGGAUGACCAGCCACACUGGAACUGAGACACGGUCCAGACUCCUACGGGAGGCAGCAGUGGGGAAUAUUGCACAAUGGGGGGAACCCUGAUGCAGCCAUGCCGCGUGAAUGAAGAAGGCCUUCGGGUUGUAAAGUUCUUUCGGUGACGAGGAAGGUUGAUAGGUUAAUAGCCUAUCAAAUUGACGUUAAUCACAGAAGAAGCACCGGCUAACUCCGUGCCAGCAGCCGCGGUAAUACGGGGGGUGCGAGCGUUAAUCGGAAUAACUGGGCGUAAAGGGCACGCAGGCGGUGACUUAAGUGAGAUGUGAAAGCCCCGAGCUUAACUUGGGAAUUGCAUUUCAUACUGGGUCGCUAGAGUACUUUAGGGAUGGGUAGAAUUCCACGUGUAGCGGUGAAAUGCGUAGAGAUGUGGAGGAAUACCGAAGGCGAAGGCAGCCCCUUGGGAAUGUACUGACGCUCAUGUGCGAAAGCGUGGGGAGCAAACAGGAUUAGAUACCCUGGUAGUCCACGCUGUAAACGAUGUCGAUUUGGGGAUUGGGCUUUGAGCUUGGUGCCCGUAGCUAACGUGAUAAAUCGACCGCCUGGGGAGUACGGCCGCAAGGUUAAAACUCAAAUGAAUUGACGGGGGCCCGCACAAGCGG